Non-coding RNA from Chromobacterium amazonense, 73 nucleotides. The record is from Rfam. Lineage: Bacteria; Pseudomonadati; Pseudomonadota; Betaproteobacteria; Neisseriales; Chromobacteriaceae.
GGCCAGUUAGCUCAGUUGGUAGAGCAGCGGAUUGAAAAUCCGCGUGUCCGUGGUUCGAUUCCGCGACUGGCCA